Molecule: long non-coding RNA, 1287 nt
Filed under: Eutrema salsugineum
Lineage: Eukaryota; Viridiplantae; Streptophyta; Magnoliopsida; Brassicales; Brassicaceae
Description: long non-coding RNA (ESAL_LNC000210)
Source: RNAcentral
AAAAAAUAUGAUAUUUAUAAAAAAUGUAAAUUACAUUACAAAAUUAGAUUAAAAAAAAUUUUUGUGCACGACGUAGAAUCUAGUUUAACUUAUUUCCUAAACCUUUUUUGUAAAAAGGUUGUCAUACUGAAAUUGUUUUUUUCAAAUAAAUAGAUGCUGGCAUGAAAUUUAGAACUAAAGACCCAUAAGGGAAAAAGAAACAAAGAGAAGAGGCCUGAUUCGUAGUCCCUAAUGGGUCUGGAAAGGCAAACCCAACCGAAAAGGCAAACCGGUAAAAUCGUACAAAAACAAGAAACCCUAAUCGACAAAAAUCUACGACCAAAGAAGAUGCCGCCACCGUCUCCGUUAACGAGAAACCGCUGCACCGCGAAGACCGAUGCCAAAACUCAACGAAAGAACAGACCACCACCUGGGAAAAGGAACCGACCACCACCUGGGAAAAGGAACCGACCACCAGAGCGCCGCCGCUUUGAAAAACUUAUCUGAGGGAGAAGAAUGCGGGAUUUGCAGAAAGAGGAAAAUCAGAUCCGGUACACGCCGCCACCGAGAUUUCAUUUUAGAUUCGCCACCGGCGAAUUUACUCCGCAAAUCAUCAGCGGUAUUUGAUACCCUAAAUUACCUCCUCCAAGAAUUCUUUUCAAGACCCGCCGAUGUCCUCAAAAAGUCGAGCUUACUCAACAAUCCUCAACGCACCUUGACAACCCACAAGCUCGUAUCUCCACCUUGACAACGGCGGAGCAGCACCAGAACCAUAGUAGCGGAGACGCCAAAUCUUCCGACGAAAGCCAAAGAGGAAGCACCACCGGAUCGUAGUCCUCGUUAGAUCCGGAUCUGCGGGCGACUUCCACCUUCCACCACCGACAACUCGAAGCUGCAUCGCCGGAAAGCAAAACAAAACACCAGAAGAACUAGGGCAGAGACCUAACCACAGGCAAGGAAAGAGAAACCUUCUCACGGCACCAGCGAGGAGCGCUGGUAAUCAAAGAGGAGCGCCGGUAACCGGAGAAGCAAAGAAGAGGUGAGAAAAGGGAGUGCGGCUAGGAUUUGUUUUGGGAGAAAAAUCGCCGCUCAAAAGCAGAAAAGCUGGAUUUCACUUUCACAUUAUGACAACAACCUUGUUUCCUAAACCUAUAUAUGCAUUUUGUGCAAUAUCUUCUAUAAACUAUAUGAUCAAUCUGAUGGCAUGUACCCGCUUUUUAACUAGGGCGCCAUUUUAAUUUUUGUUGUUUCCAAAUAAUUCGUGGUAAAAAAAAUCCAAAAUCGAUCAUGAUUUUUGAGCAAAAAAAC